Molecule: ribosomal RNA, 1459 nt
Filed under: Bacillus amyloliquefaciens
Lineage: Bacteria; Bacillati; Bacillota; Bacilli; Caryophanales; Bacillaceae
Description: bacterial SSU rRNA
Rfam family: Bacterial small subunit ribosomal RNA
Source: RNAcentral
CAGGACGAACGCUGGCGGCGUGCCUAAUACAUGCAAGUCGAGCGGACAGAUGGGAGCUUGCUCCCUGAUGUUAGCGGCGGACGGGUGAGUAACACGUGGGUAACCUGCCUGUAAGACUGGGAUAACUCCGGGAAACCGGGGCUAAUACCGGAUGGUUGUCUGGACCGCAUGGUUCAGACAUAAAAGGUGGCUUCGGCUACCACUUACAGAUGGACCCGCGGCGCAUUAGCUAGUUGGUGAGGUAACGGCUCACCAAGGCGACGAUGCGUAGCCGACCUGAGAGGGUGAUCGGCCACACUGGGACUGAGACACGGCCCAGACUCCUACGGGAGGCAGCAGUAGGGAAUCUUCCGCAAUGGACGAAAGUCUGACGGAGCAACGCCGCGUGAGUGAUGAAGGUUUUCGGAUCGUAAAGCUCUGUUGUUAGGGAAGAACAAGUGCCGUUCAAAUAGGGCGGCACCUUGACGGUACCUAACCAGAAAGCCACGGCUAACUACGUGCCAGCAGCCGCGGUAAUACGUAGGUGGCAAGCGUUGUCCGGAAUUAUUGGGCGUAAAGGGCUCGCAGGCGGUUUCUUAAGUCUGAUGUGAAAGCCCCCGGCUCAACCGGGGAGGGUCAUUGGAAACUGGGGAACUUGAGUGCAGAAGAGGAGAGUGGAAUUCCACGUGUAGCGGUGAAAUGCGUAGAGAUGUGGAGGAACACCAGUGGCGAAGGCGACUCUCUGGUCUGUAACUGACGCUGAGGAGCGAAAGCGUGGGGAGCGAACAGGAUUAGAUACCCUGGUAGUCCACGCCGUAAACGAUGAGUGCUAAGUGUUAGGGGGUUUCCGCCCCUUAGUGCUGCAGCUAACGCAUUAAGCACUCCGCCUGGGGAGUACGGUCGCAAGACUGAAACUCAAAGGAAUUGACGGGGGCCCGCACAAGCGGUGGAGCAUGUGGUUUAAUUCGAAGCAACGCGAAGAACCUUACCAGGUCUUGACAUCCUCUGACAAUCCUAGAGAUAGGGCUUGCCCUUUGGGAGCAGAGUGACAGGUGGUGCAUGGUUGUCGUCAGCUCGUGUCGUGAGAUGUUGGGUUUAGUCCCGCAACGAGCGCAACCCUUGAUCUUAGUUGCCAUCAUUCAGUUGGGCACUCUAAGGUGACUGCCGGUGACAAACCGGAAGAAGGUGGGGAUGACGUCAAAUCAUCAUUCCCCUUAUGACCUGGGCCACACACGUGCUACAAUGGACAGAACAAAGGGCAGCGAAACCGCGAGGUUGAGCCAAUCCCACAAAUCUGUUCUCAGUUCGGAUUGCAGUCUGCAACUUGGCUGCGUGAAGCUGGAAUCGCUUGUAAUCGCGGAUCAGCAUGCCGCGGUGAAUAUGUUCCCCGGCCUUGUACAGACCUCCCGUUCUCCCACGAGAGUUUGUCACACCCGAAAUAGGUGAGGUACCUUUUAGGACCAGACGAAGAAGGUAGGAC